GCAGCAGUGUUUGUUGAACACCAACAACCAUUCACAGUAUACUUUGCCCAAAUAUAGAAGGAUUCAUCUUUCUGCGCCCACAUGAUCUAAAGCAUGGUGGAAAAUAAAUGAUGACUGACUUUCUUACUUCUGUAUCAUGGAACGAAGCCCUCGUGCCCUUUGAAAAGAUGCUGGACGAUACAGUCAUAACCCCCAGUACAGGUCAGCUCCCCAUUCUGGCAACAUUGGGGAAGAUGGAAUAACAGUAUCUCACUGAACCCAGAACAGUGGAACCAGCUAAAAGAUCAGAUCAAGGCUGGAGAUAACAUUCAUUCACACCUGCCUGCUGCCAUUCCUGAGCAAGUUCUGUACUGGUGGUGCCCCGAUCCCACAGCUGAAUCAACUUUAGGAGACGGUCCUGGCGCUUGCUGG
This is a long non-coding RNA of Oncorhynchus kisutch (coho salmon), 411 nucleotides long. RefSeq lists it as uncharacterized. The record is from RefSeq and is a predicted model, not a curated record. The transcript is spliced from 3 exons. Lineage: Eukaryota; Metazoa; Chordata; Actinopteri; Salmoniformes; Salmonidae.